RNAcentral lists this long non-coding RNA (487 nucleotides) under Heterocephalus glaber (naked mole-rat). RNAcentral describes it as "lncRNA (ENSHGLG00000038849.1)". The record is from RNAcentral. Lineage: Eukaryota; Metazoa; Chordata; Mammalia; Rodentia; Bathyergidae.
GCCGAUCGGGGCUCAAGGGCACCUUGGCUCUGGGAGUGCACUUCCCAGUGUGCUUGACUGCCAACCUCCUCUUGCCCUGGGGCCAGGGAAGCUACACCCCACCCCACCCCCCACCCCCGCACCUUCAAGAAACAAUAGCCCCUACGAGCUCCAGACUGUGCCCUGAAGCGGGAGAACUGGGUACUGGGGAUCGAACUCAGGACCUUGCACUUGCGAGGCAGGCACAGCACCACUGAGCUAAAUCUCCGGCCCAGCCCCAUUUAUUUGUGAGACAGGGUCUUACUCAGUUGCCAAGGUGGCUGGGCUUCAGCUUGCAAUCCUCCUGCCUCAGCCUACCAGAGUAUGGGUACAGGAGAUCUUCUUUUAUCCAACCUGUUUUUCAGGUGUGGUGGUAGGGACUGAAAUUGUCUUGCUUUGUAGCCCAGACUGGCCUCAAACUUGUAAUCCUCUUGCCUCAACCUCCAAGUGCUGGGAUCACAGGUACGUG